Molecule: long non-coding RNA, 6621 nt
Organism: Myiozetetes cayanensis
Lineage: Eukaryota; Metazoa; Chordata; Aves; Passeriformes; Tyrannidae
Exons: 4
Source: RefSeq, a predicted model, not a curated record
ACCACCAGCCGCUCCUCACAAUUGACCCGCGCCCUUCCCGCCAACGCAAGUCGAUAACGGCAACCACGGCAACGCGCCGGAAGCGGCUUGCGAUCAAUUCGGCCGCAGAACGCCGUCAGUAUUGACUAUUCCUUUCCUCUCCACCUUCCCCCGAAGUGUCCCCCCUCCUCCCGAGGGAGGGAAUUGUACGUUCCGGGGGCGGUGAGGCGAGGGCCGCGGAGAACCGAGCAUCCAGAUACCGGAAUUAUUGUCAGAACUCCCUCCUUUCAUGAAUAUGCAAAUGUGGGGCGGGGCGGUGGCGGCCGGGCCCGGAAACGGCGCGGCUGAGUCACUUCGGCGGCGACGAUGAUGAGGCAGAAUCUGUGGUAGGCAGCGCCGUUGUCGUCGUCGACUUUCAACGCUUGAGGAAUCUCCCCGCGUUCGGUCUUCUUUCCGCCUUCUCUCCACCAUCAUGAUGGAGGAGAUAGACCGGUUCCAGGUGCCAGCCGUUCGGGCCGAGAUGCAGCCGCUGGUGGCGCUGUUGGAUCACUGGAGGAGCAGAACUUGUAAUGUCCAGUGCCUGUCACCAGGCGGCGCUGUGAGAUCCUUGGUGACCACCAGGAUUCAACAGCUGCAUCUCUUUUGGACAGAGAUUGUGGUACAAGAGAGGGAGAGACUGUAGCCAUGAACUAUAAGCCAUCCCCACUUCAAGUAAAAUUAGUGUAAUGCUUACAAGAGGACAGCAAUCCACAUGACUACUCUGCCUCCAAAAUCUGAGCCACUAUUGUGCCACACAGACUCAAGGACCCAACAAGGGAUGGAUCAAAGGAAUAGUGUACAUUUUGCUCAGAGCAUGGAUAGAAAAAUAAGAAUCUAAGUCUGGAAAAAUCCAUAUAGGAGCAGGAAGCAGUCCCGUAGUUGUGCUUCUCAUCAGAACAAAUGACGUUGGCAGGAUGCUGCUGGAGCUGAUUGAGGUUAACCUGUUGGAGCAGAUCCAGAAGUGUGCCACAAAAAUGGUCACAGGGGUGGAACACCUCUCCCAUAAAGAAAGGCUGAGAGAGUUGGGGUUGUUUAGCCGAGAGAACAAAAGGUUCUGGGGAGACCUUAUUGCAGUUUUUCAGUACUUAAAUGAGACUUAUAAGAAAGAUGUGGACAGAGUUUUUAAUAGGGCCUUUAGCAACAGAACAAGGGAUAAUGGUUUUACACUGGAAGAGGGUAGAUUCAGACUAGAUAUAAGGACAAUUGUUUUAUGAUGAUGAGGGUGGUGAACCACUGGAACAGGUUGCCCAGAGAGGUUGUAGGUGCCCCAUCCCUUGAAACAUUCAAGGUCAGAUUGGACUGGGCUCUGAGUAACCUGGUCUACUUGAAGAUGUCCCUGCUCAUUUCAGGGGAGUUGGACUAGAUGACCUUUAAAGGUCCCUUCCAACCCAAACCAUUCUAUGAUUCUAUGCCAUGCUGGGUAAGGCUCUGAAAGAAGUAGUGUCGCAAAACGCUGGGAGACACGAGCAGAAAAUUGCUUUUUGUCUCGUUUAUUAAAGAUUUUACAAAGGUUUAUAUGGUAUUUUUGCGAACAGCAUGCAAUGCUCGCAUUGGUCAGAAUGAGGGUGGUAGGUUGUUUUCUCUACAAGGAUUUGCUAUAGAUACAGAAACCUAUUUUUCUACACAUCUUUAGAAAACAAAAAUCAGAAGGUUACACUUUCCCAGAGAACAGAACACUUUCCCAGAGAACAGAACACUUUCCCAGAGAACAGAACUCAAAACAAGAUUUGUUAUGUUUCAUUCUAAUUAAAGGUAUCAGUGUCCAAAUCAUAACAUCUUCCUGCUGGAGACAGUUCUUCCUUUAAUUUACCAGGACAGCUGGGCUUUGUUUUCUUGCAUUCCUUCGUUAUCAACCUGUAGCAGCUGCAAGGUAUCCGAGCAGUCAUGUCCACGGUCAAGCAGCCACUGCUUUGUAAAGCUCUCCACAAAGUAGGUUCCCAGAUGUUAUGUAGAAUAGCUCUGACCCCUACCAAAUGAAUGACAGGGAAGGUUAGCAAACAGAUAAGGUUUGAAGAUUUGGGAAAGUUUGGGCAUUGGUGUAUGAUUCUGAAGAGAUAUUCUCUGAUAGGUUUUACCUAAGGACCUGCAGUACUUCUGCAAACACUGGUGUUGGCCUCAUUUCUAAGAGAAACCUUAAAGAAACACCAGGAAAAGGCUGGGAAGUGCUUGUGAAGUCCAAGGGUCUGCCUGAGUAUGUGGUAAAUUAAAUAAUCAGACAAAUCCGGUCAUAGAAGUGCAGAAAGCAAUGUCACAGAGUAGACCCAUGGACAGCAAAGAAAGUGGUUGAAUAAACAAGAUCUUGCUGGAAGAGUGACUAGGGAGGAGAAGUAAAAAAAGGUGAAUAUGCAAAUGUAGCAAGACUAUGCAGCAAAGUGGAGGACCUUGAGCUGUUAGGAUCCAGUUAUUAAAAGAUGCCUCUGCCUGAACUAAAGUGCAAACAAGACUAUAUGCCAAAGUCAAUAGUAUGGUUUUAUUUAACAGUAAAUAUGAGGUAGAGAGAGACAGAAGAAGGGUGGGGGAAGAAAGAUAGUGAGAGAGAGAGAGAGAUUAAGUAAAUAGAUAAAGAUAUCACCACCACAUGGAUUCCAAUAGUGUCCUGCUGGGUCCUUCUUCUGGUCUUCUCAGUGGUGAAGGUCCUGAAGUCAUGCUUCUAGGGUACCACUUUAUACAGUCCAAACCCCGGGUAUUCAUGGGGGUAGAUGCAUUCCCACAACUUGAGCUGGCAUGUGUAUAAGGACUUGCUUCCUUUCUCAUAGCUUGCCAUGGUGGGAGUUUUGUUGGUGUGCUAAUUUCAAAACCUUCACCUUUGUGUAGGUCUGUAAUUAACACUUUCCUUUCUCACAGUUUUCCAAAGUGGGAAGGUUGUUUAUAUUUGCUUUACCAGGCCUGGUUCCUGUUGUUGCCAGUCUGUGCUUAUCACAAGUUCCUGUCGUGGUGGCUUAUCUUCUGAGAAUUUCCUUCUUUGACAGUGUUUUGAGACAAUUCAUUGCAUUCUCUAAGUCCUAUCAUGAGCUACUGAUACAGGAUAUGAGUGAGUGCAUUGGGACAGUAGAUCUGUCCUUCAAUCACAGUGAUGAGCACUCUAAAACCAGUGACUGCUUUUCAGGAAAAGGCAGGGAGCAGCAGUGUGUGUUAAUGACAGCACAACUCACAGUUUAUUAAAAGAUUAUCACUUCCAGCAUGCCAUAUACCACCACGAUCCUUUUUCACUGCCAAAAGAAUUCUGUAAUGUUAUUAGAGAGGUAGUUACUACUGCAGUUGUUUUGGAUAAUUUAACAUCAGGAAUCAGCUUGGAGAGCAAUUGAUAGUAUAAUUGGUAAGUCUGAGAUAUUCUUGUAUUUCUAGGCAAUAAAAAUAUCCUCCAGAGAUUCACUAACAUGGCAGGAAAUGGUGCUAUUUUAGACUUGGCUUUGGUAAGUCAUGAAGACAUAGAAGACCUGAUCAUUGGCAAUAGUUUUGGAUUCAGGGACAAUAAGUUCAAUUCAUGCAAAUUAAAUGAAAAGGUAGUUUGAGGUAGAUCUAUAACAAAAAUAAGUUUUAUAAACUAAGACCUUAAGCAGUCAGGAGAUUGAGAAGCCCAGGAACUCAAAUACAUCAGGGAGUGUUGAAGGAGAAAGUGUCAGAAGAAAGAACAUUGCAAAUGUAGUUUUCCAACAACCAUUUCAUUUAUAUGUUCAUUAAUGACUUUGACACAAAAAAUCAAGAGUUGGUAAAGAAAAUUUCAUCAUAACAGCAAUGACAAAGUUUCUAUAAGAAGUCCACGGGCAAUCAAAAGAACUCAGGGCCCUCAGGCAAUUGAUUAAGGGAUCAGGAGUACGAGUAUUUUUUUUGUCUAUCCUACCAGUUAUGGGAAAUUAUGUGGGAAGAAACAGGAAGAGUCAGCUGAUCAAUACCUGGCUCUAUGUCUGGUGUCACCAGCAGAAUUUGGGUUUUUUUGAUCACAGAUUGAUCUACAUGAUACCAGGCCUACUAGUGACAGAAAUAUUCUAUAAGCAGCUGGGAGGAGUCUCACAAUCACUACCCCUUGUUCUCAUUGGGGACUUCAACCUACCAGAUGUCUGAUGGAAAUACAAUACAGCAGAGAGGAAACAGUCUUGGAGGAUCCUGGAAUGUGUGGAAGAUAACUCUGUGACAGCUGGUAACUAGGGAAGGCGCCCCACUGGAACUGUUGUUUGCAAACAGAGAAGGACUGGUGGGUGAUGUGAUGGUCAGAGGCCGUCUUGGGCAUAGUGAUCAUGAAAUUAUAGUUUUCAAUUCUCUGAGAAGUAAGGAGGGGAGUCAGCAGGACUGCUACCUUGGACUUUUGGAGGGCAGACUUUGACUUUUUUAGGGGCCUGGUUGACAGAAUCCUUUGGGAGGCAGUCCUGAAAGGCAAUUGAGUCCAGGAAGGUCGGACAUUCCUCAAGCAGGAAAUCCUAAAGGCGCAGGAGCAGGCUGUCAUGUGCCAAAAGAUGAGCCUGCAGGGAAGAAGACUGGUGUGGCUGAACAUAGAGCUUUGAUAGGAACACAGGAGGGAGGGAAGAGAGUUUAUGACCUUUGUGGAAGAAGGGACAGGCAACUCAGGAGAACUACAAAGAUGUCAUUAGGUUAUGCAGGGAGAAAGCCCAAGAAUAACCUAAUUGAACCACUACAGUAACAGAUAAUCAAAAAUUGUUUCUAUAAAUACAUUCACAAAAAAGGAAGGCUAAGGAGAAUCUCCAUCCUUUAUUGGAUGAAUGAGGAAACAUAGUGACAAAGGAUGAGGAAAAGGCUGAGAUAUUUAAUGCCUUCUUUGCCUCAGUCUUUAAGAGUAAGACCAGUUGUUCUUGGGGUACCCAGUCCCCUGAGCUGGAGGACAGAGGCAGGAAGCAGAAUGAAGCCGCUUUAAUCUAAGGGGAAAUGCUCAGUGACCUGCUGUGCCACUUAGACACACAUACUAUGGGGCCAGAUGGGAUCCAUUCAAGAGUACUGAGGGAGCUGGCAGAAGUGCUCACCAAGCCCCUUUCAAUCAUUUACCAGCAGUCCUGGCUAACUGGGGAGGUCCCAGUUGACUGGAGGUUAGCAAAUGUGAUGACCAUCUAAAAGAAGGGCCAGAAGAAGGAUCUGGGGAACUACAGGCCUGUCAGUCUGACCUUGGUGCCAGGGAAGGUUAUGAAGCAGAUCAUCUUGCGUACCAUCAUGUAGCACAUACAGGACAACCAGGUGAUCAGGGUCAGUCAGCACGGGCUUAGGAAGAGCAGUUCCUGCUUGACCAACCUGAUCUCUUUUAUGACAAGGUGACCCACUUUGUGGAUGAGGGAAAGGCUGUGGAUGUUUUUUACCUGGACUUUAGGUAAACAGACCUCUGACACUCUUUCCCACAGCAUUCUUCUGGAGAAACUGGCUGCUCAUGUCUUGAAUGGUCAUACUCUUUGCUGGGUAAAAAACUGGUUAGAUGGCUGAGCCCAAAGAGUUGUGGUGAAUGGAGGUAAAUCCAACUGGUGGCCAGUUACAAGUGAUGUUCCUCAGGGCUCAGCAUUGGGGCCAGUCUUGUUUAAUAUCUAUCAAUGAUCUGGACAAGGGAAUUGAGUGCACCUUUAGUAAGUUUGCAGAUGACACCAAGUUGAGUGGGAGUGUUGAUCUACUUGAGGGUAGGAAGGUUCUAUGGAGGAAUCUGGACAGGCUGGAUUGAUGGGUCAAGGCCAGUUGUAUGAUAUUCAACAAGGCAAACUGUUAGAUCCUGCACUUGGGUCAGAACAACCCCAAGUAGAACUACAGGUUGGAAAACUGUCCUGCUGAAAAGGACCUGGGACUGUUUUUUGACAACUGGCUGAAAAUGAGGCCAAUGGCAUCCGGGAUUGUAUUGGAAAUAGUGUGACCAGCAGGACUAUGGAAGUGAUUGUCCCCCUGUACUUGGCACUGGUGAGGCUGCACCUCGAAUACUGUGUUCAGUUUUUCAUCCUCACUACAAGAGGUGGAACAUGUCCAAAGAAGGGCAAUGAAACUGGUGAAGGAUCUGGAGAACAAGACUUAUAAGGAGCAGCUAAGGAAGUUUGGGUUGUUUAGUCUGAAGAAAAGGAGAUCUGGGGAAGACCUUAUCACUCUCUACCUGAAAUGAGGUUGUAGCGAGAUGGGGGUCCAUCUCUUCUCUCAAGUGGUGCCAGGGGAGGUUUAGACUGUAUAUUAGGAAAAAUUUCCUCACUAAAAGGGUUAUCAAGAGUUUAAACAGGCUGCCAAGGAAAAUGGUUGAAUUACCAUCCCUGGAGAUAUUUAAAAGACGUGUAGACGUGGCACUUAGGGGAAGCAAAAACAGUUGUGACAGGCAUAUUAUUGCAGAUAAGUUAGAGGAGAAAUAGAGGGGCAAGCAGGGAAGAGGUGAAUUAAACACUGUAGCUGACACAGGUUCAGAUAAACAAUAAAACUAUUAAGAGAAACUGGAACAGAGCAAUUCACUGGAGUUCAGCAGCCUUUUCAUUACAGUUAUUACUAUUAUAAUCAGUGUUAUAUUUUACUUUAUUUCAAUUAUUAAACUGUACUUAUCUCAACCCAUGAGUUUUACUUUUUUUCCAAUUCUCCUCCACAUCCCACUGGGGAGGGAGGGGAGGGGGGGAGUGAGUGAGUGGUUGCACGGUACCUAGUUGCUGU